Molecule: ribosomal RNA, 597 nt
Filed under: Triticum aestivum (bread wheat)
Lineage: Eukaryota; Viridiplantae; Streptophyta; Magnoliopsida; Poales; Poaceae
Description: partial small subunit ribosomal RNA
Source: RNAcentral
AUGGAACACUCCCUGCGCCUUAGGCGUGGCUUCCGGGUUCACCGGCAGGAUGCACUCCACGAGCACCACCUUGCCGUGCGCCGGCAAGGCGUCGUAGCAGUUCUUGAGCAGCUUAGCGCAGUGCUCGUCGCUCCAGUCGUGGAGGAUCCACUUCAUGAGGAUGGCGUCACCCGAGGGCACCUUCUGGAACAUGUCGCCGCCGACGUGGGUGACACCGGGGAACGGCGGCGCCUCGGAGAUGACGUGGGGAAGGUCGAAGUUGAUGCCCUUGAUGGCGGGGGUGUUGAGGCCCUCGAAGCCCUUGUAGAGUUCGAGGAGCUUCUUGGUGAUGAUGAUGGAAUGGUUCUUCAUCCCUUCGUUGAAGACGCGGUUGAAGCGCAGGUCCGUGCCGUGGUACUCGAACGCCGACAUCCCGUAUGCCUUGUUGAAUGGGAUGCCACCGUCGAGGACCGCAUCCUUGAGAUAGUACCUGAAAAAUGGUACGGUAUGAUUCACCCACACAUUGGAACAUAUAUGUGCUCUGCUUGCCACAUCUUUUGCAACAGGGAGAUGCUACUACUCUCUGAACAAAGAGUACUGAGCAAAUGGGCAAAGUAA